GGUACCUACAGAAGAAGUCCUGGCUAACUCCGUGCCAGCAGCCGCGGUAAUACGGAGAGGGCUAGCGUUAUUCGGAAUUAUUGGGCGUAAAGGGCGCGUAGGCGGAUUAGUAAGUUAAAAGUGAAAUCCCAAGGCUCAACCUUGGAAUUGCUUUUAAAACUGCUAAUCUAGAGAUUGAAAGAGGAUAGAGGAAUUCCUAGUGUAGAGGUGAAAUUCGUAAAUAUUAGGAGGAACACCAGUGGCGAAGGCGUCUAUCUGGUUCAAAUCUGACGCUGAAGCGCGAAGGCGUGGGGAGCAAACAGGAUUAGAUACCCUGGUAGUCCACGCUGUAAACGAUGAGUGCU
Molecule: ribosomal RNA, 344 nt
Filed under: uncultured Wolbachia sp.
Lineage: Bacteria; Pseudomonadati; Pseudomonadota; Alphaproteobacteria; Rickettsiales; Anaplasmataceae
Description: bacterial SSU rRNA
Rfam family: Bacterial small subunit ribosomal RNA
Source: RNAcentral